This 253-nucleotide ribosomal RNA is filed under the name uncultured bacterium. Its description in RNAcentral is "partial 16S ribosomal RNA". It matches the Rfam family "Archaeal small subunit ribosomal RNA", at positions 474 to 727 of the family's 1478-position model. The record is from RNAcentral.
UACCAGCACCCCGAGUGGUCGGGACGUUUAUUGGGCCUAAAGCAUCCGUAGCCGGUUCUACAAGUCUUCCGUUAAAUCCACCUGCUUAACAGAUGGGCUGCGGAAGAUACUACAGAGCUAGGAGGCGGGAGAGGCAAGCGGUACUCGAUGGGUAGGGGUAAAAUCCGUUGAUCCAUUGAAGACCACCAGUGGCGAAGGCGGCUUGCCAGAACGCGCUCGACGGUGAGGGAUGAAAGCUGGGGGAGCAAACCGG